UUUUUUUUUUUCUUACUUAAAUAUUGCUCCCACACAAGCAAAGAGCCCCAGCUCUCCGUCCCAGAAAAGGCUGGUGGGUCUUGUUCAGUUUGGAGGAUUCAUGACAGAUACAAAUGCUAAUAAUUCUUUGGAAACAAUAGAGAAAAUACUUCAGAAUUCCCCAAGCAUUUUAAAACUCUUUCUCAUUCUAAUAUUUGCUGAAGACCGAUUAUGUGAAAUUUGAUCUCACUUAUUUCUAAAACAAGUAGCUGAAUGGCUCUUGGUAACUAGGCAGCAUUGAAAUUUGUUAACUUCCUUUCUAAUGAACCAAUAUUUGAAAAAUUAAAAUGAGAGAAAUAGUUAAGAUAGGUUCAGAUUUUUUAUUACCCCCUUACAAUUAUAUAGGCAAGGAAAUCAGCUAUCCUGCAGCAUAAUGUAACCUCAAGGGAACUGGGAUUUGAUAGGUUAUGUACAAGGGAUGAUGGGAAUUGCAAGAAGCAGGAGUUUUUCCAGUAUCCCAUGAUGAGCUGAGGUUCCUGGGAUGUUACAGAAGCAUACAAAGGAUUCAGGGGACAAGAAGAUUUUUGUUCUCCUUUGCUUAUUUUUAUGUGGCCCUUGAUUUCAGUCUCCUUUAGAAAUCAUCAGUUCUUUACUUCAACUACCCAUCAUUACUUCUCUCCAUCUGAUAACAGCCUUUACCCCUUGGGCACAGGGAUAUGACCAUGAAGCAAGUUAGAGCAACAUGUUUCUGGACAGAAUGGUUAGCAAACAAUAUGUUAUAAUAUUAGUCAAAUUGGGAUGCUCUCUGGGAAAAUUUUCAAUUGUAGUUGCUAGAGAAGUGCUCAUUUCUUCCCAGUGGGGAGCUAAAAAGAAGUGAGCCAAGAGUAGCAGAAAGUCAUGUUUUGUCUUAGAGGAGCUAAAGAUUUUAAAAGCCACAAUGUACAAACAGAAUCAUAACUGUAUCUGAAGUCCUAGUCCCAGAUGUCUCAAUGGCCAGAUGUCUCCCACUUUUUCUGUAGUUCAAUUGUAUAAGCCAAUGCAGAUCUCUUUUGUUUACUGACUGAAACAAUAACCUCAAAUAUAAAAGUGACUUCCUCUACUGCUCCAUUGUGUUUGAAUUGAGUGCUAUUUUCUCUAGUAUAUCAGCUCAGAAUGGUAUAUGGCUAUAAGUGUAAGAAGGAAGAGAGGAAGGGAGGGAGGAAGGAAGCAGAGAGGAAAAAAGGAAGAAAGUUACAUUCUUACCUCAUACAGAAAUUAAUUCAAAAUGAAUCAUAGACACAAGUGGAAGAAUGAAAACUAUAAAAACUUCUAGAAGAAAAUAUAAAUGUAAAUUUUUGUGGUUUGGAUUAAGCAAUGGUUUCAUAGAUAAAACACCAAAAAAGAUAUACGAACAUCUAAUAAGCACAUGAAAAGAUGCUCAGAAUUGUACCUCAGUGUUCAGAAAAGUAUUUUUACAAUUACCAAGAUAUGGAAGCAACCUAGCUGUCCAUCAAUAGAUGAACAGAUAAAGAAGAUGUACCCCCCCACACACAUACAUUGGAAUACUACUCAGCCAUAAAAAAGAAUGAAAAUUUUUGCCAUUUCCAACAACAUGGAUUGACUUGGAGGGCAUUAUGCUAAGCAAAAUAAUUCAGAGAAAGGCUAAUAACUACAUGAUAUCACUUACAUAUGAAAUCUAAAAUAUAAAACCAGUGAUUUUUUCUUUUUUUAAAGAAAGAGACUCAUAGAGAAAAAAACUAGUGGUUACUAGUGAGGAGAGGGAAAGCAGAUGGGCAAGGUAGGGGUAUGGAAUUAAGAGGUAAAAACAACUGUGUAUAAAAUCAAUAAAUCACAAGAAUCUAUCGUACAAUGUAGGGAAUAUAGCCAAUAUUUUGUAACUAUAAAUGGAGCAUAUCCUUUAAAAAUCAUGAAUCACAGGUGUUACACACUUGAAACUCAUAUAAUAUUGUACAUAAAUUACACCUCAAUUAAAAUCCUCAAAAUCAUUAGUCAUUAGGGAAAUGCGCAUUGAAACCACAAUGAGAUCCUCUUCAUAACCAUUAGUAUCACCAGUAUUAAUAAGAUGAAGAAUAAAUAUGUUGGUGAGGAUGUGGAGAAAUUGAAAUUUAUAUUAAAACGUCCAGAAGUGAGGGGGAGGUACAUUAGUAGUUGCCAGGUCUGGGGGUAAAGUGGAUGGGGAGAGACUGCUAAUGGGUAUGGGAUUUCUUUGGAGGAUGACGACAAAGCUCUGGAAUUAGAUAGUGGGGAUGGUUGCAACAACUCUGUGAAUAUACUAAAAACCCUGGACUUGUACAUUUUUAAGGGGUAGAUUCCAUUGUAUGUGAAUUAUAUAUCAUAAAAUUGUUAUUAGAAAAACAACAAAAUAAAUAGUUUGGACUAUAUAAAUUCCCAAAGCAAAAUUUAAGAGGGGAGGGUUUUUUUUUGUUUGUUUUUUAAAUUAAUUUCCUACAUUUUUUUUAAAUGGUGGGUUCAUAGGGGAAAAAAAAAACUGUUUAGAGCUCUGAGAAUGUGGAACAAAAUUGUCUAGAUAAAUGAUUAGCUGCUGAUCAGAUUUUUUUUUAACCACAGAAGCUACAUGGACAAAUAAAAUUUCCUGGAAAAAUUGCAAGGCAAUUUCAAAGGAUCCCAGCCCUGCAGUCCUCAUAUACAACUAGAACUAAUCUACACAAACCUGGCUUCAAAUCCUAUCACUGCCAUUUAGUCUUUAUAGACAUAAUAAAGCUGGUGUUCAACAACCUGAUUUCUCUUAAGGAGUACACCACGGGCUGUGAUAUAGUUGUGACAUCCUUUCCAUGUUAACAACUUGGACGGCCUGCAGACAGGUGGUCCCUUCCCUUCCUCUCCACUCUAUGCACAUUCCUUGCAGAAUGUAGACUCCAUCAAAGCGAAAAAAAACUUUUUAGGAGAGAAACAUGUAGGAAGUGCUCUGGUUCUCUCUACCAGAAAUCUAUUAAUGGAUGUACCUUGUGCCAUAUUGAGCAAAAUGUGUGCUUUCUCUUUUUCAGCUAAAGUUGACCAGCAUGACUAAUACUAAAGGGCUUGGUCCUUAAAUCCACUAAAGUUUAGCAUUUGGGUCAUGUGGGAGGCUGAAACACAACAGAAGCUCUCAUACAGAAAUGCCCUAGACACUACAGGAAAAGCUCCUGGAAAAGGGUACAGGGAAUCCAAAUAAGGAGUCAAUCUACUUCUACAUCUUUGUAUGCUCCUUGCUGCUACUCAUGAAGGUAGGCUGUUCUCACCUGGAGGACCAAUUAUCCUCUAUGAAUCUCAUGAUGACAUGCUAUCAACUGAAAAAGGAAGCACAGUCCACUACUGUACUUACUACAAUGGCUCAGAUAUUAGGGGAGGGGAUAGUGACACAUGUUCAUAAAUACAAAAUGAAAAGCUCCCUUUUAUUUUCUUAUGUCCAACAUAUUAGAAGAAAUUUUGCCUUUCCAGCUGCUAGCCAUCCCUCUCCAAAGGAACACUGAUUCAUUCAUUUUUUGCUUUUGCUGAGGUUGUGAGACCUAUUAUUCUGGGUCUGACAUCUCUUUUCAUUUAACUUUCCAAGAUCUACAGGACAGUAAAAAUGAAUCUAUGUAUUAUGGUGUGUUUAAGGAAACUUGGGAUUAAGAAUGGGGGAGGAGGCAAAGAGGAAAAGGGUGUAUUCCUUUGAUCCACAACUGCACAAAGAAAGGCAUGGUACAAGGCUUGGAAAAUCCUAGUUUCUUUAAAAAAAUGAAUCUGAAAUAACUCUUUUAUGCUGUAUAUUAAAGCUAGAACUGAGUUUAGCCAACCAUGGAUACUUUAUGAGAUUGGAUCUUAAUCAUAUUGAUUUAUCACUACCCCCAAAAAUAUAUCUGACCAAAGUUUCUGAGAAAUACACUCUUCUUACAAUGAUUGGAUUUGUACAGUAACUAUGUUUCAUAUCAUAUUAGUGUUAAUUUUAUAAGCUGAAUUCUAAUAUGACUGGAAGAGAUAAUUGUGGUAGUCAUAUUUCAUUAAGUUUUUAGCUAUAUAUAUGAAAAUUACUGGUAAGGGGAAAUUUUAAAAAACUUAUUUUGUAGUUGGAAGUAUUUGGUAAAAGGGUGGUUUUCAAGUCAUAGCUUAGGUAAAUGAAGGUUGAAACAUGUUCUUAAGUGUUUUCCAAGCUAGUUCCAGUCUCCCUCUCUAUAGUAGCAAUCAUAAGCUACAUGGGUUAAGGAUCCGGCAUUGCCAUGAGCUGUGGUAUAGGUUGCAGACACGGCUCAGAUCCCGCACUGCUGUGGCUCUGGCGUAGGCUGGCAGCUACAGGUCCGAUUAGACCCCUAGCCUGGGAGCCUCCAUGUGCUGUGGGAGUGGCACAAGAAAUGGCAAGAAGACCAAAAAAAAAAAAAAAAAAAAAAAAAAAAAAAAAAAACACCACAAGUACAAACUGUAACCACUAAAUAUUAAGGGGUCCUGUUCUUCUUUAACUGAGUGUGUUCCAUGGCAUGGCCCAUGAACACAGAAACGUUAAGUCAGCUCUGGGCUUUAUUCAAGUUAUUAGAAGCAUCUCAGCUGAUCUUCCACCAUAUCCUCAAAGUGACCUUUCUGUGCCUCACAUUUGAAACAACUUAUGAAAACUGUUCCAUAUGUCAAACUUCAUUUCAUUCAAUUUUCUCCUGGUUGAAAAUUGACACUAAAGAUGUUUUGUCUUUCAGAACAUUUUCCUUUGGGAGCCAAAGGCCCGAUGAUGUAUAAUCCUUCCUGAAGGUUUUAUGGCAGGGCUUCACAAAGCAAACAUUUUUUUCCUCUUAUUCUAUAUCACCCUGACAAACAGAAAUGCUGAGCCAUUUAAUUACAGAGCCUGCCUGACACAUCCAGAGAGUCAAAUAUUCCAGCAGCAUCUAGCUGAAGGGGAAAAAUGCACUGAAUUCCCCGAGUUGCUUGUCAAGACAAUGACACCAAGGAAACUAGUAAAUAAUCUGGCAGGUCAGAGGGUGGAUACUACGGUGUGCCAGAGUGGUCCCCAUGGCUCUGUGUCAGCACCAUUAGCCCUGUAGCAUCUCAUCCCAUGAUGGUAAUACAUGAUCUGAGCUUUAGGCUGAGCAGCCAGGAAAUGAUGAGAACACAGGUCAGAACGAAGGUCAAGCCACAGGCCCAUAGAUCAUCUCUUGAUCUGGGUUUUACAGAAAUGUCCAGAUUGAGAGCUUGCACUCUUAAUUCUCAAACUAACUCACAAAAAGAAUCUGCACAGAUACAACUGAAUAUUCGUCCCUCUAUAUCCAAGAUGUGACAGACAGUCCCCAGGACCAGGCACGAGUGCACUGAGAUAUUAUGUCCUAUAAUGUUUCAAAGCUCCAACACAUAAUCAAAAUAUCUUAGGUUACAUCUAUUUAACGCCCUUUCUAUCCCUUUAGAAUAGUUAAUCCCUGUGAUAAUUUCCAGUCCAUUUUAUGGCAAUAACUAAAGUAUGAAAGUCACUCUCUUGAAUGCUUCUUGUUUGCAUGAUUUAUAUUUUUCUUUCUUUCUUCUAUCAAUCAUACAGUAAAAAGAAAGAAUAAAAGUAGACCUCCUAUGAAUCAGGCACUAAUCUAAGCACUGGAUUGAGCAGUGGUGACAAGGUCACUACAUUUAAGGAAAUUACAUCCGAGAGUCAGGAGGCAAAAUAAACAUGUAAUAAGAUUAUUUUGGGGUUGUAUAUGUUCUGAAUAAAAUAGUCUACAGAGUGAUACAGAAUAGAGUGGUGGGAUGCUUUCUCAGGAUGGCCAGGGAAGUUCACGUUGAAGUGAUGAUUGUUAACUUGAGAUAUGAAGGAUGAAAAUGAUAAAAGGAGGCAGCCAAGAACUAUUUGGGUGAAGAAUGUUGCAGGAAAAAGAAAUAACAUGUGUAAACGCCCUAAGACAGAAAUGAGAGGGGAUGAGCUUUAUGGAAAGAAAGGUCAGUGAGGUCAGAAAGUAUUGAAUGAAGAGUAGAGUGGACGGAAAUGACACAGGGGAGGUUUUCAGAGGACAGAUCAUGUAAUGCAUUGGAGGCAUAUAUUUUGAAAAUGAAGAAGUAAAACUGCCUUUAAUCACAAACAGUAUGAUCCCAGUUGCAUAAUACUCCAUAAAGAUUAUACCCCAAACCUAGUAGAGCCAAUAACAAAAUUUAAGAAUAGCAUAAGGUCAGUGCAUACUGCAUUUCUACAUACUAGGAAAGAAAAAUUCAAAAGUUCGGUCAAGAUA
This 6146-nucleotide long non-coding RNA is filed under the name Sus scrofa (pig). Its description in RNAcentral is "lncRNA (ENSSSCG00055002499.1)". Lineage: Eukaryota; Metazoa; Chordata; Mammalia; Artiodactyla; Suidae. The record is from RNAcentral.